This 481-nucleotide ribosomal RNA is filed under the name uncultured bacterium. RNAcentral describes it as "partial 16S ribosomal RNA". It matches the Rfam family "Bacterial small subunit ribosomal RNA", at positions 28 to 507 of the family's 1533-position model. The record is from RNAcentral.
GAUGAACGCUGGCGGCGUGCUUAACACAUGCAAGUCGAACGAAGCACUUUAUUUGAUUUCCUUCGGGACUGAUUAUUUUGUGACUGAGUGGCGGACGGGUGAGUAACGCGUGGGUAACCUGCCUUGUACAGGGGGAUAACAGUUGGAAACGGCUGCUAAUACCGCAUAAGCGCACAGCAUCGCAUGAUGCAGUGUGAAAAACUCCGGUGGUAUAAGAUGGACCCGCGUUGGAUUAGCUAGUUGGUGAGGUAACGGCCCACCAAGGCGACGAUCCAUAGCCGACCUGAGAGGGUGGCCGGCCACAUUGGGACUGAGACACGGCCCAAACUCCUACGGGAGGCAGCAGUGGGGAAUAUUGCACAAUGGGCGAAAGCCUGAUGCAGCGACGCCGCGUGAGCGAAGAAGUAUUUCGGGAUGUAAAGCUCUAUCAGCAGGGAAGAUAAUGACGGUACCUGACUAAGAAGCACCGGCUAAAUACGUG